UUAUGUAAUAGGUAAUGUUUACGUUUUUCAGUGUAAUUUAAAAGAAAAUUGUGAAAUUUUGUCUUUAUUCCUCAUUUACGCAAUUGUUACCUAGUAUUAUAGAUAAAUGUUAAUCAAGUGAAAAGUUUAAACCAAUUACAACCGUUUUUCGGAGUAUUGUGGGCUAUACUUUGUAAAGUUCCUGCACAAGUUCAACUUCUACCAAUUUUACAUCAAGAAUACAGUUUAAAAAUGUUAUACUCUCGAUUAUACUUCUGCAUAGGAUAGGACUGCAGAUCCUAACUACGUAAUAUAUAAAGCAAUUCUGAAAGUCUAAACAAAAGCAACGGGUGAGCAUUUUGCAACCCUCAUUCUUAGAAUCCUGCUUUUGCUUCUGUUUUAACUAGUUCUUCCCACUUAUCAGUCACGGGGCUGAAAUUGUGAAACUCACAUGAUGGACGUAGAGAGCCCCACGCAAGGACAAUGUGGACAGAAAUAACUGCUUGAAAUUCAAAUUUCUAUCCUAUUAAAUGGGUAAGACUAAGAAUCUAUCAGGCGACGUGGAAGGAGCCCAUGCAAGGACAAUAAGAGCAGAAGUAACCGGGGCUAAGACUCUCAAAAUCUAUCAAGCGACGUGGAAGGAGCCCCAUGCAAGGACCAAUACAAAUAAUUGCAACAACGAAGAACGCAAUGUU
Long non-coding RNA from Agrilus planipennis (emerald ash borer), 674 nucleotides. RefSeq lists it as uncharacterized. The transcript is spliced from 4 exons. The record is from RefSeq and is a predicted model, not a curated record. NCBI's taxonomy places the organism in Eukaryota, Metazoa, Arthropoda, Insecta, Coleoptera, Buprestidae.